AACUGAUACUACCUGCGGGAACCUGCGGAAGGAUCAUUACAGAGUUUUCUAAACUCCCAAACCCAUGUGAACUUACCAUUGUUGCCUCGGCGGAGCCUACCCUGUAGCUACCCUAUAAGGUGGUUACCCUGUAGCGCCCCGCCGGUGGAUUUUCAAACUCUUGUUAUUUAUAGUAAUCUGAGAGUCUUAUUUUAAAUAAGUCAAAACUUUUAACAAUGGAUCUCUAGAUCGGAAGAGCAC
RNAcentral lists this unclassified non-coding RNA (240 nucleotides) under soil metagenome. RNAcentral describes it as "partial contains 5.8S ribosomal RNA, internal transcribed spacer 2, and large subunit ribosomal RNA". The record is from RNAcentral.